Molecule: non-coding RNA, 46 nt
Filed under: Pelobates cultripes (western spadefoot toad)
Lineage: Eukaryota; Metazoa; Chordata; Amphibia; Anura; Pelobatidae
Rfam family: Histone 3' UTR stem-loop
About the family: The mRNAs of metazoan histone genes lack a poly-A tail.
Source: RNAcentral
AAAACGGUUCUACUUAGAACCAUCAAAAUUAUGUAUUAUUAUUUUU